GACGAACCGUGCGAACGUUGUUCGGAAUCACUGGGCUUAAAGGGCGCGUAGGCGGGCGGUCAAGUCAGAGGUGAAAUCCCACGGCUCAACCGUGGAAGUGCCCCUGAUACUGACUGUCUCGAGGGAGGUAGGGGCGUGCGGAACUUCCGGUGGAGCGGUGAAAUGCGUAGAUAUCGGAAGGAACACCGAUGGCGAAGGCGGUUCUCUGGGCAUGACCUGACGCUGAGGAGCGAAAGUGUGGGGAGCGAACAGG
RNAcentral lists this ribosomal RNA (253 nucleotides) under uncultured bacterium. RNAcentral's name for it is "partial 16S ribosomal RNA". It matches the Rfam family "Bacterial small subunit ribosomal RNA", at positions 524 to 776 of the family's 1533-position model. The record is from RNAcentral.